This 83-nucleotide transfer RNA is filed under the name Opitutus terrae PB90-1. It matches the Rfam family "tRNA". From Rfam's summary of the family: Transfer RNA (tRNA) molecules are approximately 80 nucleotides in length. Their secondary structure includes four short double-helical elements and three loops (D, anti-codon, and T loops). Further hydrogen bonds mediate the characteristic L-shaped molecular structure. tRNAs have two regions of fundamental functional importance: the anti-codon, which is responsible for specific mRNA codon recognition, and the 3' end, to which the tRNAs corresponding amino acid is attached (by aminoacyl-tRNA synthetases). tRNAs cope with the degeneracy of the genetic code in two manners: having more than one tRNA (with a specific anti-codon) for a particular amino acid; and 'wobble' base-pairing, i.e. permitting non-standard base-pairing at the 3rd anti-codon position. Lineage: Bacteria; Pseudomonadati; Verrucomicrobiota; Opitutia; Opitutales; Opitutaceae. The record is from Rfam by way of RNAcentral.
GCCCGGGUGGUGGAAUGGCAGACACUAGGGACUUAAAAUCCCUUGCUCGUAAGAGCGUGCGGGUUCGAGCCCCGCCCCGGGCA